This is a long non-coding RNA of Silurus meridionalis, 669 nucleotides long. RefSeq lists it as uncharacterized. The record is from RefSeq and is a predicted model, not a curated record. NCBI's taxonomy places the organism in Eukaryota, Metazoa, Chordata, Actinopteri, Siluriformes, Siluridae. The transcript has 2 exons.
AGGAAGGUGUGCAUGAAUGUGGGUAGCAUAAAGUGACAAUAGUUUAACCCCAUUUGUGAGGUGCGGCCAAAGAGCGCUAGCUGCUGUUUCGUACCUGUUUCAUAUGUUUUGUAUAUGCUUGUACACACUGGUUCAUAAACCCUGAAUUAGCUUGUUGGUUUACAGUUUGGACCAAGUGGACGUCGCGGUUGUAAACCGCUGGAUUACUGAGUGUUUUAAAAGAUUAUCCUGCGCAACGGUUCUGUGCUAUGUUUGAGUAAGGACUUGGAUAUCCAUCUUUUGUGCAGGUGUAUUAAAUUAACAGGCUUGGUAUUUUUGCUCCGUGAGCCGCUUGGACGCUUUUUAAAUAUUAAUCGGGAGUUAAUUGUUUUUCUCUUUUUAACGUGUGUAAGUACCAUUUACAUAACUAUUUCCACAUGUAACUAUCUGAUGAGCUGUGAUUUUUGAGACUUAAACAGAAGGGGCGAUUGUUAGUGUGUUUUGGGUUUAUUUUUGGUUUAUUCUUUUAAGAAUUAUGCACUGAUUUGCUGUGUGCUCUGUCCCUUCUGUUACAAAGAGGAUGUAAUCUAGUCUCUCCGAUUGUGGGUAAAUAACUGGUAAGCUUUAAAUGGUAUUUUAAAAUAUUUUUAAACAUUCUUUUGUUUAAUAAAUUUGUACUAUUUGUGUAAA